RNAcentral lists this transfer RNA (58 nucleotides) under marine eukaryotic metagenome. It matches the Rfam family "tRNA", at positions 7 to 64 of the family's 71-position model. Rfam says of the family: Transfer RNA (tRNA) molecules are approximately 80 nucleotides in length. The record is from RNAcentral.
GUCGUCUAGUGGCAGGACAGCGGACUUUGAAUCCGUCAACGGAGGUUCGAAUCCUCCC